GGGGGCGAAAGGUUUCGACUGUGGUAAGCUUGGGAAGAGCAGCAUGCCGAGGUUGUCAGGAGGCCUCGAAAAACACCUGGCACAUAUUAAACGCCAACUACGAUGCAGUAGCUGAAGCUGAGGGUAUUCUUACCUCCAGCGAGGCGCUCGCUGUUGCCUAAUUAAUUAGGCAACCCGUCUACAGGUCUUGCCUGCGGGACUUGACAGACGCUAUUAGCAGGCUGGGUCAUUUCUUUAUGUCCUUUUGGAAUGGCUGAGGAGCAUGAAAAGGGCUUUGUUUGAUGAUAUCCCGUUUACCGGAGCUCAUCAGGCGAGACCAAAAGGUAACCUAAGCAUGUAGAUACUGUUUUUGGGAUGCCAGAGGACGCGGAUUCGAUUUCCGCCGCCUCCACCA
RNAcentral lists this transfer-messenger RNA (394 nucleotides) under Candidatus Gorgyraea atricola. It matches the Rfam family "transfer-messenger RNA". Rfam says of the family: Bacterial tmRNA, also known as 10Sa RNA or SsrA, is named for its dual tRNA and mRNA-like properties. Its role is to liberate the mRNA from a stalled ribosome. The record is from RNAcentral. Lineage: Bacteria; Pseudomonadati; Candidatus Omnitrophota.